Molecule: non-coding RNA, 2395 nt
Organism: Malus domestica (apple)
Lineage: Eukaryota; Viridiplantae; Streptophyta; Magnoliopsida; Rosales; Rosaceae
Source: RefSeq, a predicted model, not a curated record
AUCCCAAAUCGAAUUUCGGAUCCUCCCCACAAGCCCACAAGCAAAAAGAUGGCGAAUAAUAUUUCAAAGGUAAAAACGCAGCGAGAAGCAGACAUUGAUGCCCCAACCGGCGAUUUCGAUCAGAUUCCAAGGCUAGAGGAAAAUCUUACAUUCAGCAGCACGUUGGUUGGGUCUUCGGAUGAUGCGAGCUCAGUUUCCGAACAACGAAAGGGUAACAGUUCUGCUUUUCAUUUUGCGGUCACAGUUGUAUAGCAUUGUAGACGACAGAACGCAGGUGGACCGAGAUUUUAGAGACUCUGAGAAGAGAGAAGGUACUACGGGUUUUCAAGUUAAAUACUGGACAAGACGAUCAUGCAAUAAUCUUUUUGGAUAACUAUCUUUGCCAGAUGGAAAAGGUUGUGAAAAGAUUCGAAGAAAAGGACGAAGAUAUUCUUGAAGUUUUUAAGUGGUUUAAGUGACACGUUAUUUAUUUGAAACUCAAACCCAGUAUUGGACAUCAAGAACUUGUGAGUGAUUGGAGUAUCUGUGUACUUCUCGGAGAAGGUUUCUUUUAAGGCAGUUUAAUGCGCUUAACAAGAUAAUGAUUGAACAAGUCGCUAUGUAGAUACAAUACAAUACAAUUACAAUCCAAAUGAAAAAUGGUUUGCGGCAGUGUAAAUUAUUAUCUCGUGGAGGAAAGGUGAAGGAUGAACACAUCUCCCUCUUAAUCAAUUCUGGCUUUCUUUGUAAGUGCGCUUUUACUUAUUCAAUAGUAUAAUAUGUUGCAGCUGUGUGAAUUCCCUCAUUGAUUAUAUGGUACAUUCUAUGGUUAUUUGGUCUGUGGUGUCGGAAACUAGUGAAAUAAUUUUACACUGAGCAUGAUUUGAUUUAUAUCUUUCCUCUUAAAGAUUUUUAUGCAGCUCCUUUUAUGGGGAAUGCUUCCCCUUAGUUCUGUUUAUUGGGUUCCUUUUGAAUUUUUUGACGGUGUCCAGUUUUUUAACUAUGAAAUCUACUUCUAGACUCGGCAACUUAUUGAUCAAAAUGUUCAUUGGUCUGUGAUUUCAAAUAUUGGUUCGGUACUAAAAGGCCUCUCUCAGGUAUAUAAUAAAAGGUUAACUUUGUAAACUUGUAGGCUGCUAGAUUAGAGACAUAGCUUUUGUUAUUCAAAAUGUUAGCUUUGAGAUUUUGAAGUACCAUGGCCAUUCGACACUUAUGGAGAUUGAGUUUUCUCUGGCAUUUUACUGCAUUUUUUUAAAGUUUGAACAGGAAAAUUGUCUAAAUUUUGAAUCACGAGAUCCUCUUUGUUCAGGGAAGAAAGGAAAUUCUUUCUCUUCUAAACCCCAGGAGAUGCAAAUAAAUGAUGAUGGCUCCUUUAGAGAAGACGGGUCUUCGAUUUUCUCCACUAAUGAGAUUUCACCUUUGUGAUCUAAUAGGCUCAGGUCAUCUCAAAACUGCCAAGAGACUGACAGGCUUAGUUGUUCAAGUCUCAAAAGAUUGAAAAACAGGAAUAGUACUAGCAGCCCCAUGGGUUCAUAAGAUUGUUGUGCUUCUCUUGGCUGUCUAUCUUAUUAUAGGUAUACCAGCGCUGCUGAAUAUACGUUCUACUAGGUACAUGACCAGAAUUUUUGCAGGCCGUCCAAUGUGGACGAACAAACAAAGUCAUCGUAUCAGCAAACCAGCCCAACCCGCAUGAGCAUGAAGGAUAGAAGAUCUGCUAGGUCUUGUAUUAUUCCUUUCAUAUCUGAUUUUUUUUUUCAGUUCUACAGCAUCCAUGUGAAUUCAUGCUUAAUUCAUUUCUUCUGAUUUGAUUAUCCAUUUUUUGUAAUACGUUGUACUUGAAAGCACAGUAGGAAAAUGAGUUACAGAAGAGUACACUCGGAGCUCCUUUUGUUGGACAUCUCGCUGCUAUCACUGGUGAAGGUUGUGGACAGAACUACCUGGUGUGCAAGUCAACAUGCUGCUAUUCGAAUUUCACCAAAACCUCAUAGUUCUUCAGAGUAUGUGGGAUGUUCGAGACAGCGGGGAGCUGUCGCGGAUGAUCUGAAAGCAGCUGGUCCGACUACAAAAUACAACAGUUGGUGGCAUGCUAGACUUCGGAGGGCUGGUGGAGAGCCUGUCCAACAAGACUUUGAGACAAAAGAAAUACAACUAGCUGAUAGCCUUCCAUAAUACUGCUUUUAAUGAAUUGAAUCUGGGCUUUUUCUCAUGAAUGUGAAUCAUAACAAAUGGACAACGACUAAUAUUAGUCGUAGGACCAAAGAAGCACCUAAAAAUUUCAAAAUCAAAUUGGGAAAAGAUUGUUUGGUACCGGAUAUGAGUCUACUUCGUUGUUAGUAAUACGAACAAUAUGUAUUAGAUACUGUAGAUUGACAUUCGAUAUUAGAAAUUUACUCUCCAAUCACAUUCAUAUUCACCA